AUGCCGUCUGCGUCCCAUUUUGCUACAAAUAAUAUUUUUUUUUGUCGAUUAUAUCCUCAUUUUGAUGGUACUCAAUCAUGUGCAGAGGGCAACAGCAGGUUAUGCGUCUCUGUCAGAGACUACUACUGUUACAUGCUGCAGACACGGCCUGCGAUCUUUAAUCCCAUACUCUGUGGAGCACGCCUCUUGCGGCAAUGGGCUGUCGACAUGUACGUCAAGAUUGAAAGUUGUCGGUUAAGGUGGUACAGGAAGAACCAGACGCAGAUUCGUGCUGACUUGUAUAAAGGAGUUGUUGAUGCGAUCACAUCGGGGGAGACACAAGCAAGCGCUGUUGGGGUAAGAAUAGUU
Molecule: ribosomal RNA, 348 nt
Filed under: Triticum aestivum (bread wheat)
Lineage: Eukaryota; Viridiplantae; Streptophyta; Magnoliopsida; Poales; Poaceae
Description: partial small subunit ribosomal RNA
Source: RNAcentral